UGGGGAAUUUUGGACAAUGGGGGAAACCCUGAUCCAGCCAUCCCGCGUGUGCGAUGAAGGCCUUCGGGUUGUAAAGCACUUUUGGCAGGAAAGAAACGUCAUGGGUUAAUACCCCGUGAAACUGACGGUACCUGCAGAAUAAGCACCGGCUAACUACGUGCCAGCAGCCGCGGUAAUACGUAGGGUGCAAGCGUUAAUCGGAAUUACUGGGCGUAAAGCGUGCGCAGGCGGUUCGGAAAGAAAGAUGUGAAAUCCCAGAGCUCAACUUUGGAACUGCAUUUUUAACUACCGGGCUAGAGUGUGUCAGAGGGAGGUGGAAUUCCGCGUGUAGCAGUGAAAUGCGUAGAUAUGCGGAGGAACACCGAUGGAGAAGGCAGCCUCCUGGGAUAACACUGACGCUCAUGAACGAAAGCGUGGGGAGCAAACAGG
RNAcentral lists this ribosomal RNA (429 nucleotides) under Acidobacteriota bacterium. RNAcentral's name for it is "Acidobacteria bacterium partial 16S ribosomal RNA". It matches the Rfam family "Bacterial small subunit ribosomal RNA", at positions 355 to 776 of the family's 1533-position model. Lineage: Bacteria; Pseudomonadati; Acidobacteriota. The record is from RNAcentral.